UACGUAGGGAGCAAGCGUUAUCCGGAAUCAUUGGGCGUAAAGCGCGCGUAGGCGGCCCUGUAAGUCCGUUGUGAAAGUCAAAGGCUCAACCUUUGAAAGCCGAUGGAUACUGCAGGGCUAGAGUCCGGAAGAGGCGAGUGGAAUUCCUGGUGUAGCGGUGAAAUGCGCAGAUAUCAGGAGGAACACCAAUUGCGAAGGCAGCUCGCUGGGACGUAACUGACGCUGAGACGCGAAAGCGUGGGGAGCAAACAGG
Molecule: ribosomal RNA, 253 nt
Filed under: uncultured bacterium
Lineage: Bacteria
Description: partial 16S ribosomal RNA
Rfam family: Bacterial small subunit ribosomal RNA
Source: RNAcentral